UGGGAAUAUACUUCAAAUAUAUUUUUCUCAUAUGAAUUCAUAGGGGAGCCAAUAAUUGUUGCAUACCUAUAUUUAACAAAGAUAUUUUUAGAUACAUCUGUCUUGUGUUUGCAAUUGUUUGAUAUCCAUGAGAGCAGAGUAUUUUUGUGAAUUUCUUUUUUUAUUAUUUAUUUAUUUAUUUAUUUAUUUAUUUAUUUGUUUUUUACAAAAGAUCAAAAAGUUAAACAAUAAAGAAAAAUUUUCACAGCCAUCUUUGCUCAUAUUUACCAAGGGUGCCAAUAUUAGUGGAGGGCACUGUAUUUAAUUAAUAACAUCACUAAAUUUUACAAAUGGAGGACACUGGAGGAGAGCCUGAGACCCUGCUUAUUUUGAUGAGUUUUUAAAUCUUUUUUUUAUAAUGUAUGAUUUUUUUAACAACAUUUAAUGUGAGCCAAAACAUGGCAGAUGGUUGUUUGGUCAGCUUAUCCUUCAAACCAGUGGCAUGUUUUCUUUAUAUGAGAGUGCAUUCAACAGAAAUUUUAGCAUUAAGUUUUAAUUAAGACAAUUAGACAAUUGAAAGCAUGAUAAAAUAGUCUACAUCCUGCACACAUAUUAUGAUUUCAUGGCCUCUGUCUCAUGGUAUCAUUAAGUUGUGUGCAUGCGUAACAGUCGAAUUAUGAAAUUUAAAUGAAAAUGCUAAAUAAUAGCAUAUGAUGGAUCAAGUGCUAUUUUAUAAUCUGCUUAAUGGGUGGAAGCCAAUGAUUAGUGUGAUAAUUACACCUAGGUCCAUUCAUGCACCAAUAUAAUGGCAAUAUAAUAGAGGCCUAUUAUAUGUCAGUCUUUUUUUUCCAAUGCUUAUCAUUUUCUUAUUCACAUAUCACUCACAUCAUAUUAGAAAAUUUAUUUUGAAAUUAACUCUUGCUUUUAUUACAUUUGACAGCAAAAAUAUUUUCUAUUUAUAAAGUUAAUUUUUAAUUUGUCUUUUGCCUAAUUUGACAGGAAAGAAAAAAAAGUUAUUUUCUCUUUUCAGUCCUGAAUUUUAUUUUAUUUUUUCAGGCUUAAAGGCAAAUGAAUGUGUGUAAAGGCAGUAGUCUAGAUGCUACUGAAAAACUCAUUCUCAGAGUCGUCUAUUCAAGACAAAUCUGGCAAACUCAGAGGCAUGAUAACUUUAAAACUGAACUUGCAAAUUCUGAAUACAGCCCUUACUGACUGAUUUUGAAUUCUUACUUUUAUGUAUCAAGGAGCUACCAGUCAACUGUAUAUUGUAUUUGCUAUGUGCACUGGUCUCCACUACCUCAAAUCCUCAAACUGCUCAAAAACACAUUGUAAAGAAAAUGAAACUACUUAAUGGAGCUAAUAUGUAACUACAAGUUUGAAAAAUGUGUACUAAAUAAGCAAAUCAGCAUGGUCUGAUGAGAGAGGGGCAUUUCUGCAAAAGAUAUGAGCUGUCAAUCAUUUCUUAUAGCCUAGUGCUAUAAUAUUACUUUUAACAUGAACAAGUAUGAUUAUUAAAUUUACCGUCACCGCGACAUGCCAGUCACAGAAAAUGAUCUUGCUUUGUGAAAUAUGGAUAUAAAAGAGUCUGAAUAAUAAGCUUCAUGGGUUUUUUUUUAUUUAUUUUUUUAUUAUACUCCUGUAAUGUUCAUAUGAAUGCAGAGUGAUUUGAGGCCCUGAUUUAUUUUUGGUGCUUUCUGUUCAUUAUUCUCCUGAGAAAUGAUUGUAUUGUUGAAAUCAAGUAUAAAAAAUGUUCUUUGUGAAUUACCAUCGUAAGGAAUUUCAGAAGUUGUUGACUGUAUUUCCAAGUUCAUUUAUACUGUGUUUGUUACAAGUAUCCAGAAAUACUUGGAAAAUGAUAUGAAGCAAAUAAAACCAAAAUAAAAUACAUAAACAGCACCCAGUCUUUUAGACUCUCAAUA
This is a long non-coding RNA of Ictalurus punctatus (channel catfish), 1895 nucleotides long. The record is from Ensembl. NCBI's taxonomy places the organism in Eukaryota, Metazoa, Chordata, Actinopteri, Siluriformes, Ictaluridae.